UCCCAUUAUCAUCCAGGGUUAAAAAAUCGGUUUCUCUUAAACAAAACGAGAAAAUGGAGCGCGUGGCAGCCAAAAUUUUAGAGAAGGAUGGCGGCAUCGCGAAAUUUUCCCCACCUGGAUAACCCUAAAUCCUCCACAGCGCCGCCACUCUCCGUUUUGUAUCUCAGAUCCAAUCGAGUCCCACCACCGCUAUCCUCUUCCAUCGUUGUAUCACCGCUCCUAGCCCUCGCUGCCACCAGGUUAUCCCCCUCCUUCCUCCGUGCAUCUGAGACGAGCGGACGGUGGCGAAGUGAAUCAAGACUGGGCAACAGGAGGACAAUGGCGAAGUGAUGGACUCCCCCCCCCCCCCCCCCCCCGCGCCGGUGACUGGACCUUGCGCGCGCGGUCGGUGGUGUGAUGGCGGCCGGCAUAUCUCCGCCGCCUCUCUCCCCCCGCCGACGACGACGCGUAUUCCAGCACCCCUCUAGCCCCUAUAGGCCUGCCGGAACCUUGCCCAGGCGAUGGGUCACCUGGUGGACGUCCUCGAUCCUUGGCAGCGCAAGCAGUACUGGUCGUCUGUAGGUGCCGGACGGCCCAAAUAUCGCCACCACUAGAUCCAUCUGCCCCUGUCGUUGCUGCCGCAUUGCCAUAUCUCGUAAUUCGCAGUUGCCGUCGCCAUCUUAUUUUCUCCGGAUGCUCUGCCGUCCUGUGAAUCCCUCCCUUUAUUUGUGCAAUAAAUACUCUGAUUUUUGCUGCUCUGUCUGCCUCAUCUUGCAGCACGACACCUUUGGACAUGGGGGUGGCAAGAUGGAGUCCCGACUACUGCUGUCGUCGCCUUGAGCUUGCUUGCCCUUGAUGGAAGAACCACAAGCGGGACUGCCACGGGUUGCUCGCUCUCACCAAACCAGACCAACAUCUUCAAGUUAUCAUUGUAAGCACCCCCUUCCUCCUCCUGUUGCUACUAAAAUCAAUCUGUACACAUGGGUUUCAUUGUCUAGGUGAGUGCUCGGGUUGCUGUGUUGGUAUCGGGGCAAGGUGGGAAACUUUAGUAUGUGAUAGUUGGAUCAGUAGGUGUCCGUAGAAGUGUCUGUCGGCAGAAAAUGGUUUCAGCAGUAGAGUGACUGAUUGCUUAGCAGUUGGGUCGACCUAUAUUUUGUGGCACAACACUGACUUUGUGUAGCUGUUGAUUCUAAAAGCCAAAUAUAUCAUGCCUUCUGGACCUUACAUAUAUAUUUCUAGCAUACUGAUGAAUUCAGUGUCAUAUCAAAUAUGACAUCAACCCCUUUUGGUAGUUCCAUGUUACUAAAUGAUAUCCUGUCAUGUAGACUUGCAGAUUAACAUUGUCGAGUAGCAAUUUGUGUUGAAAGGCUAGAACUAGACGCUGGGAGAUAUGUGCGUUCGUUUGUGCCAUCCUCACUGUCGUCGUGCGCAAGGACCCUAGGCAUCCCAUGUAUGUGGCCAAGGUGACCACGCCUCUUGCAGCUUUGUUUGUGCCAUCCUCACUGUCGUCGUGCGCAAGGCCCUAGGCAUCCCAUGUAUGUGGCCKAAGGUUGACCACGCCUCUUGCAGCUUUGUUUGUGCCAUCCUCACUGUCGUCGUGCG
RNAcentral lists this long non-coding RNA (1581 nucleotides) under Hordeum vulgare. Its description in RNAcentral is "long non-coding RNA (HVUL_LNC000275)". Lineage: Eukaryota; Viridiplantae; Streptophyta; Magnoliopsida; Poales; Poaceae. The record is from RNAcentral.